UUCAGAGGGUGCGAGCGUUGUUCGGAAUUACUGGGCGUAAAGAGCGCGUAGGCGGUUCUAAAAGUCAAUUGUGAAAGCUUGGGGCUCAACCCCAAAAGUGCAUUUGAUACUAUAGGACUAGAGAUCGGGAGAGGUAAAUGGAAUUCCUAGAGUAGGGGUAAAAUCCGUAUAUAUUAGGAGGAACACCGGAGGCGAAGGCGGUUUACUGGAACGUAUCUGACGCUGAGGCACGAAAGCGUGGGGAGCGAACAGG
This 253-nucleotide ribosomal RNA is filed under the name uncultured bacterium. RNAcentral's name for it is "partial 16S ribosomal RNA". It matches the Rfam family "Bacterial small subunit ribosomal RNA", at positions 524 to 776 of the family's 1533-position model. The record is from RNAcentral.